CCUACGGGAGGCAGCAGUGAGGAAUAUUGGUCAAUGGGCGGGAGCCUGAACCAGCCAAGUCGCGUGAGGGAAGACGGUCCUAUGGAUUGUAAACCUCUUUAGGCGGGGAGCAAUGCCGGGCACGCGUGCCCGGAGGGCGAGUACCCGCAGACUAAGCAUCGGCUAACUCCGUGCCAGCAGCCGCGGUAAUACGGAGGAUGCGAGCGUUAUCCGGAUUUAUUGGGUUUAAAGGGGGCGUAGGUGGAUUUUUAAGUCAGCGGUAACAUGUGCGGGCUCAACCCGGGCCGGCCGUUGAAACUGGGGAUCUUGAGUGGGCGAGAAGUAUGCGGAAGUCGUGGUGUAGCGGUGAAAUGCUUAGAUAGCACGAAGAACUCCGAGUGCGAAGGCAGCUUACUAAACUGCCACUGACAUUGAUGCUCGAAAGUGUGGGUAUCAAACAGGAUUAGAUACCCGAGUAGUC
Molecule: ribosomal RNA, 460 nt
Filed under: uncultured bacterium
Lineage: Bacteria
Description: partial 16S ribosomal RNA
Rfam family: Bacterial small subunit ribosomal RNA
Source: RNAcentral